AGACGGAGGGCGCAAGCGUUGUUCGGAAUUACUGGGCGUAAAGGGCAGGUAGGCGGCCUGUUAAGUCGUUUGUGAAAAUCCGGGGCUCAACCCCGCGAAAUGCAGACGAAACUGGCAGGCUUGAGACCGGUAGAGGCUAGCGGAAUUCCUGGUGUAGCGGUGGAAUGCGUAGAUAUCAGGAAGAACACCUGUGGCGAAGGCGGCUAGCUGGGCCGGGUACUGACGCUGAACUGCGAAAGCGUGGGGAGCAAACAGGAUUAGAUACCCCAGUAGUCC
RNAcentral lists this ribosomal RNA (276 nucleotides) under uncultured bacterium. Its description in RNAcentral is "partial 16S ribosomal RNA". It matches the Rfam family "Bacterial small subunit ribosomal RNA", at positions 523 to 796 of the family's 1533-position model. The record is from RNAcentral.